CCGGCUAACUCCGUGCCAGCAGCCGACGGUAAUACGGAGGGUGACAAACGUUGCUCGGAAUUAUUGGGGCGUAAAGCGCACGUAGGCGGUCCGCUAAGUCGGAUGUGAAAGCCCUCGGCUUAACCGAGGAAGUGCAUCCGAAACUGACGGGCUAGAGUACGGGAAAGAGGGGGGUGGAAUUCCCACGUGUAGCAGUGAAAAUGCGUAGAGAUGUGGAGGAACACCGAUGGCGAAGGCAGCCCCCUGGGCCAAUACUGACGCUCAUGCACGAAAGCGUGGGGAGCAAACAGGAUUAGAUACCCUGGUAGUCCACGCCCUAAACGAUGUCAACUAGGUGUUGGGAGGGUUAAACCUUUUAGUGCCGUAGCUAACGCGUGAAGUUGACCGCCUGGGGAGUACGGCCGCAAGGCUAAAACUCAAAGGAAUUGACGGGGACCCGCACAAGCGGUGGAUGAUGUG
Molecule: ribosomal RNA, 459 nt
Filed under: uncultured bacterium
Lineage: Bacteria
Description: bacterial SSU rRNA
Rfam family: Bacterial small subunit ribosomal RNA
Source: RNAcentral